This 253-nucleotide ribosomal RNA is filed under the name uncultured bacterium. RNAcentral's name for it is "partial 16S ribosomal RNA". It matches the Rfam family "Bacterial small subunit ribosomal RNA", at positions 527 to 779 of the family's 1533-position model. The record is from RNAcentral.
CGGAGGUGCAAGCGUUGUCCGGAUUUAUUGGGUUUAAAGGGUGCGUAGGCGGCCAUUUAAGUCUGGGGUGAAAGCCCGUUGCUCAACAACGGAACUGCCCUGGAAACUGGAUGGCUUGAGUACAGACGAGGGUGGCGGAAUGGAUGCUGUAGCGGUGAAAUGCAUAGAUAGCAUCCAGAACCCCGAUUGCGAAGGCAGCUGCCUAGACUGUAACUGACGCUGAGGCACGAAAGCGUGGGGAGCGAACAGGAUU